GAGACUUGGAGCACAGCUUUGAGGUAGAGGUUACACAAGGAAGCACUUACUGAGUGCCCGCCUUCUGCCAAGUCCUGUGUCAGAGAAUACAGGGAUCGGGGUGGUGGCACGAAGACAACGCACCAGAGAGCUGCAACACCAGCGAUGCUGUAACAAGUUCGGUGAGGGAGGAGAAGACUUUGUCAGAACAAAAUGUGAUGCGUAUGAGACCAAACCCCACGCGUCAUGAUAUAUAAGACGUUUGAAGUCAUACACAGAUGUACUUGCUAUUUGCAGUACUGUUAUGAGUUGGUGUCCCACAACAGAAGCAUCCCGAUCAAUUCUAUUGCAGUGGCCACCAGGAGGAGGCAAAUACUUUCUCUCUCUUGGAAAGAGGUUUCCUGUCUACAGCUUCAGAAAACACCGUGACUCUGCCCUGUGGCUGGAAUCCAGACUCCAGCUGGGGUUUUAAAAGGAAAAUAAAUGAAAAUAAAUUGUC
Molecule: long non-coding RNA, 478 nt
Organism: Hippopotamus amphibius kiboko
Lineage: Eukaryota; Metazoa; Chordata; Mammalia; Artiodactyla; Hippopotamidae
Exons: 4
Source: RefSeq, a predicted model, not a curated record